UAAUACGUAGGGUGCGAGCGUUAAUCGGAAUUACUGGGCGUAAAGGGUGCGUAGGCGGUUUGAUAAGUCUGAUGUGAAAUCCCCGGGCUCAACCUGGGAACGGCAUUGGAGACUGUCAAGCUAGAGUGUGUCAGAGGGGGGUAGAAUUCCACGUGUAGCAGUGAAAUGCGUAGAGAUGUGGAGGAAUACCGAUGGCGAAGGCAGCCCCCUGGGAUAACACUGACGCUGAAGCACGAAAGCGUGGGGAGCAAACAGGAUUAGAUACCCUGGUAGUCCACGCCCUAAACGAUGUCAACUAGCUGUUGGGGGUUUGAAUCCUUGGUAGCGAAGCAAACGCGAGAAGUUGACCGCCUGGGGAGUACGGCCGCAAGGUUA
RNAcentral lists this ribosomal RNA (375 nucleotides) under uncultured bacterium. Its description in RNAcentral is "bacterial SSU rRNA". It matches the Rfam family "Bacterial small subunit ribosomal RNA", at positions 521 to 896 of the family's 1533-position model. The record is from RNAcentral.